This is an RNA transcript of Cornus florida, 1383 nucleotides long. It is a transcript of the gene named protein MOR1-like, with no coding region annotated. NCBI's taxonomy places the organism in Eukaryota, Viridiplantae, Streptophyta, Magnoliopsida, Cornales, Cornaceae. The record is from RefSeq and is a predicted model, not a curated record. The transcript has 7 exons.
AGUUCUAGAUGUUCUUCGAAGAUGGUUUGGUGUGCGAUUCUGCGAUCAACUCAUCAUGCCUAGUGAAGAGGUGCUGGAAUUCCUUCAUGAACUUUUUGAUACAUUGAGGAAUGAGGGAUACACCAUUACUGAAUCAGAGGCUGUCAAUUUUUUCCCCAUGCUUGAUUGAUAAGGUUUCUUGUGUUGCUGCUGGUUUAACAGAUGCAAUACUUGCUGUGAAAGAUCAUAAGGAUCUUUUUCAUUGGUUAUCAAGGCCACUUACUGGAUCAAGUGAUUUUUCUGAUGCUUCACAUUUGCUAAAACCAGUUGCCUCUGCUAUGACGGAUAAAUCAGCGGAAGUUUGCAAGGUAGCAAAAGCAUGCAUUGGUGAAAUUUUAAGAGUUUGCGGACCAGAAACACUGCGUUGGCUUCAAAAUUCUUUGGUGUUACCUUUGGUUUGUUGAAAUUUAUAGAACUCUUGAGAUUAUUAUAAUUAUCAUUUUUCUUGGUGACAAAAAAUUUGAAAGAUAUACAUGGACCUGCCUUGGCUAUUGUUCUCGAACGGCUGAAGCCAUAUAGGGCUUUUCAAGGCGAUUCUUCAUAAAAUUUGCUUAGAUGUUAUAUUGGUUUUGUUGGCUGUGUUACUUAGCUAAUCUAACUUGUUUGCUUCCAGGAAAACGUUUGAAUCAUCAAAAAACAAUACCAACAUCUAAAAUUGGCUCAAAGGUUAGGAAGUCUAGUAUCAACGAUCUUGGAGAUCGUGUACCAUGGCAUGUGAUAGGGGAAAAGGUACAACAGUCAGCAACAAAGGAAAAGCCGAGGGCCAAUCGGAAGCAAUCAAACAGUUAUAAUUCAAAAGAGUUACACGAUAAAGUGAAAUUGAAAUUCAAUUUCCUGGGAAGUCUCCUUAAAUUUGCAACAAACUAAUUUUCCACGGUAGCUAUAAAGUAGGUCCAUAGCAACCAAUCAGGUACGAUAAAAAUAAUUGCCUUAUGCUUCUGUUUAUUUUCCUGGUGACUGACUUUACCAUCGGAGGGUUUUUGGCAGGCACGAAACCGGUGUCAAAGCGGUGCCAUUUCAGAUCAACUGAAGACGAGGUCUUCAGUAUGCUUUUACCUGCUUGAAAGGAUGAUACAGACAGAAUGGUUAUCCAAAGGUCUAAAUUCUAAGAGCCAUGGUCAGAGGAAAUUCAAGUUCUUGAGAAUGGUCUUAUGAAGUAUUUCAGAGAAGAUCUGCACAGGAGGCUUCUUGGCAAAAACUUCAAAUAGUUAAUGGUAUUGAGAUGCUGCAGAAGGCGCUUUUAUCCAUUGAAAAGGAAAUAAUUGAAGCUCUAGAUGUUCUUCUAAGAUUGUAUGGUUUGCGAUUCUGCGAAUCUAACUCAUUGUGCCUAUUGAAGGUGAAGUA